GAGCUGUGAAGAAACCGGUUUAGCGACGGUUGGGUCCAUCGCAUUCAUCUGAUUUCCAGAUGGUAUAGCCACAAUCCUGAGCUC
Raphanus sativus (radish) is the source of this 84-nucleotide small nucleolar RNA. RefSeq annotates it as small nucleolar RNA snoR114. NCBI's taxonomy places the organism in Eukaryota, Viridiplantae, Streptophyta, Magnoliopsida, Brassicales, Brassicaceae. The transcript has a single exon. The record is from RefSeq and is a predicted model, not a curated record.